CCUGAGAAACCUAAAAGAUCGAAUGAGGAGACUCAUCGUCAGUGUAAUUGGCUAUCAUGUGGUAUAGCGAUGAUUCGAAAUUUAUUUUGUUUCACACUGCCACUGUGAUUGUGUCCAUUUACGUCGGCGUGCACUUCUCCUCUAGUAGAACGUCGCGACCCGCUGGGUGUCGAUUUAAGGGCCAAGAUUGUUGACUGUAUUCAUUUUAAUGUUGUACAGACGCUUGGACUUCCCAAUCGACUGCUCGGCGGUAUAUACAAUGGUAUCGAGCCGCACUUGAAUGCGUUCAGACACGUUGCAAGCUUGAUUUCAAUCUGGAUUACGGACCUAGUGCCG
This 336-nucleotide ribosomal RNA is filed under the name Gryon sp. GRB-1. RNAcentral's name for it is "partial large subunit ribosomal RNA". The record is from RNAcentral. Lineage: Eukaryota; Metazoa; Arthropoda; Insecta; Hymenoptera; Scelionidae. RNAcentral also lists the same sequence under 2 other names.